UGCAGUCGAGCGGAACGAUCCCAGCUUGCUGGGAGGCGUCGAGCGGCGGACGGGUGAGUAAUGCAUAGGAAUCUGCCCGAUAGUGGGGGAUAACCUGAGGAAACUCAGGCUAAUACCGCAUACGUCCUACGGGAGAAAGCAGGGGCUCUUCGGACCUUGCGCUAUCGGAUGAGCUUAUGUCGGAUUAGCUGGUUGGUGAGGUAACGGCUCACCAAGGCGACGAUCCGUAGCUGGUCUGAGAGGAUGAUCAGCCACAUCGGGACUGAGACACGGCCCGAACUCCUACGGGAGGCAGCAGUGGGGAAUAUUGGACAAUGGGGGCAACCCUGAUCCAGCCAUGCCGCGUGUGUGAAGAAGGCCCUCGGGUUGUAAAGCACUUUCAGUGAGGAAGAAAGCUUGUCGGUUAAUACCCGGCAAGGACGACAUCACUCACAGAAGAAGCACCGGCUAACUCCGUGCCAGCAGCCGCGGUAAUACGGAGGGUGCGAGCGUUAAUCGGAAUUACUGGGCGUAAAGCGUGCGUAGGCGGCUUGGUAAGCCGGUUGUGAAAGCCCCGGGCUCAACCUGGGAACGGCAUCCGGAACUGUCAGGCUAGAGUGCAGGAGAGGAAGGUAGAAUUCCCGGUGUAGCGGUGAAAUGCGUAGAGAUCGGGAGGAAUACCAGUGGCGAAAGCGGCCUUCUGGACUGACACUGACGCUGAGGUACGAAAGCGUGGGUAGCAAACAGGAUUAGAUACCCUGGUAGUCCACGCCGUAAACGAUGUCGACUAGCCCGUUGGGGUCCUCGAGACCUUUGUUGGCGCAGUUAACGCACUAAGUCGACGCCCUGGGGGAGUACGCCGCAAGGUUAAAACUCAAUGAAUUGACGGGGCCCGCACAGCGGUGGAGCAUGGUGGUUUAAUUCGAUGCAACGCGAGACCUUACCUACCC
This 929-nucleotide ribosomal RNA is filed under the name Halomonas caseinilytica. RNAcentral's name for it is "bacterial SSU rRNA". It matches the Rfam family "Bacterial small subunit ribosomal RNA", at positions 56 to 980 of the family's 1533-position model. Lineage: Bacteria; Pseudomonadati; Pseudomonadota; Gammaproteobacteria; Oceanospirillales; Halomonadaceae. The record is from RNAcentral.